CCUACGGGAGGCAGCAGUGGGGAAUUUUGGACAAUGGGCGCAAGCCUGAUCCAGCAAUGCCGCGUGCAGGAUGAAGGCCUUCGGGUUGUAAACUGCUUUUGUACGGAACGAAAAAGUCUGCCCUAAUACGGUGGGCCCAUGACGGUACCGUAAGAAUAAGCACCGGCUAACUACGUGCCAAGCAGCCGCGGUAAUACGUAGGGUGCGAGCGUUAAUCGGAAUUACUGGGCGUAAAGCGUGCGCAGGCGGUUAUAUAAGACAGAUGUGAAAUCCCCGGGCUCAACCUGGGACCUGCAUUUGUGACUGUAUAGCUAGAGUACGGUAGAGGGGGAUGGAAUUCCGGCGUGUAGCAGUGAAAUGCGUAGAUAUGCGGAGGAACACCGGAUGGCGAAGGCAAUCCCCUGGACCUGUACUGACGCUCAUGCACGAAAGCGUGGGGAGCAAACGAGGAUUAGAUACCCUGGUAGUCCACGCCCUAAACGAUGUCAACUGGUUNUUGGGUCUUNACUUGACUCAGUAACGAAGCUUAACCGGCGUGAAGUAGACGCCGUGGAGGACGGCGCGAGUAGAACGUACAANAGAGUAGAGCGNGAGAGNGACGACGACGACGACGAGGGAGGAGG
RNAcentral lists this ribosomal RNA (623 nucleotides) under uncultured bacterium. RNAcentral describes it as "bacterial SSU rRNA". The stretch from base 1 to 549 matches the Rfam family "Bacterial small subunit ribosomal RNA", at positions 338 to 873 of the family's 1533-position model. The record is from RNAcentral.